GGCAUUAUAGUCAUUUCACAAUAAAGGAGAGAUCAGACGGCAAAACGGACAUCACUUUUGAACUCAGGACGGUCGAAAACCUUAGGAGGGGCAUAAAAGGAAAAAUGGCACUAUUCACAUGUACGGUACUAUUCACGUGUACGGUACUGUAUACGUUACUGUUCACGACACUGUUCACAUAGACGGAUGAUGACGUGGCAUUGAUCGAUGAUGUGGCAUUGACUGAUGAGGUGUCACGAUCCUGUUGGACUAAAAUUCUUAUGUAUUGUUGAUGGAGACGUGGCAGCAUAUCAGUGGACGAAAAAUCUUGUGUACGGUGCAUGCAUCACACAGGAUUAUUUUCAACCAAACCGCG
Molecule: long non-coding RNA, 355 nt
Filed under: Citrus sinensis (sweet orange)
Lineage: Eukaryota; Viridiplantae; Streptophyta; Magnoliopsida; Sapindales; Rutaceae
Description: long non-coding RNA (CSIN_LNC000831)
Source: RNAcentral